UAAAGAGUGAACAAGUCUAUAUGGCAUGC
This 29-nucleotide small RNA is filed under the name Bombyx mori (domestic silkworm). Its description in RNAcentral is "ovarian small RNA-18298". Lineage: Eukaryota; Metazoa; Arthropoda; Insecta; Lepidoptera; Bombycidae. The record is from RNAcentral.